GUUUGAUCAUGGCUCAGAAUCAACGCUGGCGGCGUGCCUAACACAUGCAAGUCGAACGAGAAAGUGGGGGCAACCCUGCGAGUACAGUGGCAGACGGGUGAGUAACACGUGAACAACCUACCCUUGAGUGGGGAAUAACACCGCGAAAGCGGUGCUAAUACCGCAUAAAAUCCUUGGGUCGCAUGACCUGGGGGUCAAAAGCGCAAGUUGCUUGAGGAGGGGUUCGCGGCUGAUUAGCUAGUUGGUGAGGUAACGGCCCACCAAGGCAACGAUCAGUAGCCGGCCUGAGAGGGCGAACGGCCACACUGGAACUGAGACACGGUCCAGACUCCUACGGGAGGCAGCAGUGGGGAAUUUUGCGCAAUGGGCGAAAGCCUGACGCAGCAACGCCGCGUGGAGGAUGAAGGCCUUCGGGUCGUAAACUCCUGUCGAUGGGGACGAAGUCCUAGCAAUAGGAUUGACUGUACCCGUUGAGGAAGCCACGGCUAACUCCGUGCCAGCAGCCGCGGUAAUACGGGGGUGGCAAGCGUUGUUCGGAAUUACUGGGCGUAAAGGGCGCGUAGGCGGCUUUACAAGUCAGGUGUGAAAGCCCCGGGCUCAACCCGGGAAUUGCAUCUGAAACUGUAUAGCUUGAGUUCUGGAGGGGGUAGUGGAAUUCCCAGUGUAGCGGUGAAAUGCGUAGAUAUUGGGAGGAACACCUGCGGCGAAGGCGGCUACCUGGACAGUAACUGACGCUGAGGCGCGAAAGCUAGGGGAGCGAACGGGAUUAGAUACCCCGGUAGUCCUAGCCGUAAACGAUGGGCACUUGGUGUUGGGGGUAUUGAGUCCCUCGGUGCCGGAGCUAACGCGAUAAGUGCCCCGCCUGGGGAGUACGGUCGCA
This 880-nucleotide ribosomal RNA is filed under the name uncultured bacterium. RNAcentral's name for it is "bacterial SSU rRNA". It matches the Rfam family "Bacterial small subunit ribosomal RNA", at positions 11 to 890 of the family's 1533-position model. The record is from RNAcentral.